AUCAAUGCCAUUUCCUACUUUUUCUUUACGACUUGUUAUUUUCACUUCAACACUACUCUCAGAAUAUGGUCUGUUAUAUCUUCUGCUACUCUUUCUAUUUCUAUAUAACCCUUAAACUUUUAUCUUAUGGAAAAAACCCUAUCUCUGUCCUCUCCCUCUUAAAAUGCAGCCAUGUCUAUGACUUGUAUCAUAAUUGUUGCCCUUCUCAAUUUUCUUUCUCAUUCUCAUUGUUUAUAUCAUAGACAGCCUCCAUACACUCUAAGGGUAAAUCCCUUUUCUCUUCUUCUUCUUCUUCGUCCCUCUUGUGGAGUAUGUAUGCUCGUUUUUCACUUUGCAGCGUAUAUUUUUUUCAAUUGUGUGAGAUUAUUUUUGUAACGAUCCAUUCUUUUGAAUUAUUUGAAUCUUGUUUUUAGUACGCUCCUCACUCGUUUUUCUUCCCUAUGUGGGUGUCUAUUGAAUCGAGUAUACACUGUCAGCACUUUGCAAACGAUUUUUUUUUUCCAGUGAGAUUAUUUUUUAUUGUAUAGCUAGUACUUUAUCUAACUCAUGUUUAGCUUAGAUGAAAGUUAAUUUUCAGUAUAUUUUGACAAAAGAUGAUUAAAUGUCCGUUUUAAAAGUUUUGGAUCCCAUGAAUUAUGUAUUUUAGAAUAAAUCGUUGACCUGGACUUAAGUUUUAAGGAACUAUUGUAGCUUAAUCAAAGAGGGACCUAGUACGUUUCUCUUGUAGAAAGCAAAUUCAAAUUUACUCAAAUAUAUGAUGUGUACAAUUUUCAUAAAUAGGGUGGCGAAAAUACUUCAACUUAUAGUUUUUUGUGCAAUUUUUAAGUUUAAUUAUUAAAGAUGUCACAUAUAUUUAUUUAAAUCUUGUUCCGAGCAUUAUUUUAAAGGUUUGCUGAUUGUAGGGUUUGUCGAUGGAAGAAAAGGCAAGAUUGGGUUCAAUGCCACCUAGUUGUCACAACAAAUGCAACCAAUGCCACCCGUGCAUGGCGGUGCAAGUGCCACCACUGCCGAGUCACAACCGAGUACUGCCGAGUCAAACUGAAGCAACUCCAUCAUCAGAUGAGAACGAUAGGUAUUCAAAUUACAAGCCACUUGGAUGGAAGUGUAGAUGUAAUGGACACUUUUACAACCCUUAAUUUGCAUUUGAAUUUCAAUUUUCAAAUUAAUUUUUAUGGAAAUUCAUAAAUUAAGCAUUUUUUUUUAAUUUUACUUAUUUUCUAGAGUAGCAUAUGGUUGUUGGAUUUUGGAAUUUUUGUAGAGACAAGACAUAUUAAAUGGGGUAUUAAUUUAUUAGUAGCAUUUAGCAUGUGUAAAUUAAUUGAACUUGCAAAGAUAGUGGCUGAAAUUUUAACAUUG
Molecule: long non-coding RNA, 1356 nt
Filed under: Olea europaea subsp. europaea
Lineage: Eukaryota; Viridiplantae; Streptophyta; Magnoliopsida; Lamiales; Oleaceae
Source: RNAcentral